UGCAGUCGACGAUGAUCCGGGUGCUUGCACUCGGGGAUUAGUGGCGAACGGGUGAGUAACACGUGAGUAACCUGCCCUGGACUCUGGGAUAACCCCGAGAAAUCGGAGCUAAUACCGGAUAGGACCUGGGACCGCAUGGUUUCGGGUGGAAAGUUUUUCGGUUUGGGAUGGACUCGCGGCCUAUCAGCUUGUUGGUGAGGUAAUGGCUCACCAAGGCGUCGACGGGUAGCCGGCCUGAGAGGGUGACCGGCCACACUGGGACUGAGACACGGCCCAGACUCCUACGGGAGGCAGCAGUGGGGAAUAUUGCACAAUGGGCGCAAGCCUGAUGCAGCAACGCCGCGUGCGGGAUGACGGCCUUCGGGUUGUAAACCGCUUUUAGUAAGGAAGAAGGGGAGCUUGCUCCUUGACGGUACUUGCAGAAAAAGGACCGGCUAACUACGUGCCAGCAGCCGCGGUAAUACGUAGGGUCCGAGCGUUGUCCGGAAUUAUUGGGCGUAAAGAGCUCGUAGGCGGUUUGUCGCGUCUGCUGUGAAAUCUAGAGGCUCAACCUCUAGCCUGCAGUGGGUACGGGCAGACUUGAGUGGUGUAGGGGAGACUGGAAUUCCUGGUGUAGCGGUGGAAUGCGCAGAUAUCAGGAGGAACACCGAUGGCGAAGGCAGGUCUCUGGGCACUUACUGACGCUGAGGAGCGAAAGCGUGGGGGAGCGAACAGGAUUAGAUACCCUUGGUAGUCCACGCCCGUAAACNGUUGGGCGCUAAGAUGUGGGGGACCUUUUCCACGGGUUUCCCGUGGCCGUAGCUAAACGCAUUAAAGCGGCCCCGCCUGGGGGAGUACGGGCCGCAAAGGCUAAAAACUCCAANAGGAAUUUGACCGGGGGGCCCCG
RNAcentral lists this ribosomal RNA (886 nucleotides) under Agromyces indicus. RNAcentral's name for it is "bacterial SSU rRNA". It matches the Rfam family "Bacterial small subunit ribosomal RNA", at positions 56 to 925 of the family's 1533-position model. The record is from RNAcentral. Lineage: Bacteria; Bacillati; Actinomycetota; Actinomycetes; Micrococcales; Microbacteriaceae.